UACGGAGGAGGCUAGCGUUGUUCGGAAUUACUGGGCGUAAAGCGCACGUAGGCGGCUUUGUAAGUUAGAGGUGAAAGCCCGGGGCUCAACUCCGGAAUUGCCUUUAAGACUGCAUCGCUAGAAUUGUGGAGAGGUAAGUGGAAUUCCGAGUGUAGAGGUGAAAUUCGUAGAUAUUCGGAAGAACACCAGUGGCGAAGGCGACUUACUGGACACAUAUUGACGCUGAGGUGCGAAAGCGUGGGGAGCAAACAGG
This 253-nucleotide ribosomal RNA is filed under the name uncultured bacterium. RNAcentral's name for it is "partial 16S ribosomal RNA". It matches the Rfam family "Bacterial small subunit ribosomal RNA", at positions 524 to 776 of the family's 1533-position model. The record is from RNAcentral.